UUAGUCAAUGCUCGCAAGAGUGAACUAGCUAACUGAAAUCAAUGGUGUGUCAUCAUUGAUAAGGUAAGGGAAAAGAAAAGAUAUUACCUUACUAUUAGUGUCGUCCAAGUACUCGUGCCAGAAGACUCGGUAAGGCGAGAGACGCAAACGUUAGUCGUCUUAAUCAGGCGUAAAGGGUUUGUAGGCGGCUUUAAGUAUGGAUACUUUCUAAAUUUUAUAUUAUUCAUUUAGUAUAGAAGGAGAAAUCAAUUAAAGCUAGAAUCAAAUAGAGGUCAAAUUAAAUAAUACUUGGUGUAAGAUUGGUAUCUUUAAAAACCAAGCGGAAUACUAACGGCGAAGGCUUUUUUCCAUUAAUGAUUGACGCUGAGAAACUAAGGUGAGGACAGAAAAAAGGAUUAGAGACCCUCGUAUUCCUCACUGUCAACGAUGAAUGGUAGUUACUAGAAAAUAAAAGUUUUAUAGGAUAAAACACAAAUUCUAGAGGCGAUGUUAACACGUAAACCAUUCCGCCUUGUGAGUACGACUGCAAAGUUGAAAACAAAAAAAUUAGUCGGUUUCGGAGCAAACGAAGUGAAGCAUGUUAUUUAA
Molecule: ribosomal RNA, 588 nt
Filed under: Xylodon subserpentiformis
Lineage: Eukaryota; Fungi; Basidiomycota; Agaricomycetes; Hymenochaetales; Schizoporaceae
Description: SSU rRNA
Rfam family: Bacterial small subunit ribosomal RNA
Source: RNAcentral